Vicugna pacos (alpaca) is the source of this 386-nucleotide non-coding RNA. NCBI's taxonomy places the organism in Eukaryota, Metazoa, Chordata, Mammalia, Artiodactyla, Camelidae. The record is from RefSeq and is a predicted model, not a curated record.
AUGACAGGAAGUUGGGCUCGGCGAGCGGGUGGGUGCGCCUCGGGCCGCGGGAGUCGCCGCGGCUGCUGCCGCCGCCUCUACGGCCGCGUCAGAACUGAAGAGAGGAAGGGGAGGAGCCGAGUGGAGCCUAAGCUGCCGCCUGAUCUUACCCCUGACCCGAGGGCGGCGGAGAGAGCUUGCUCCGUAGCGGUUUCCUUCAGAGCAGGUGGUGACUGCUCCUUGGCGAGCAAGGAGGAGGCCCAGGCCGGGCAGCCCGCUCGGGCGCGCACCACCCGAAGGUGAGGCAUUUGGCCCCAAACAGGCCUUUCAAAAGCCCGACUGAGCGAGAAGUUAUCUUUCAGCUUGAUCCCCGGCACCUGCUCCGGGGAGCGAGAGCCCCACCCUUU